GUCAGUGGUUCUCAACCUUCCUAAUGCUCCUGCCCUUUAAUUCCAUCCCUCAUGUUGUGGUGACCCCCAACCAUAAAAUAAGUCAUAACUGUAAUUUUGCUACUGUUAUGAAUCAUAAUGUAAACAUCUGUGUUUUAUUAUGAUCUUAGGCAACCCCUGUGAAACAAUCUUUCAACCCUCAAAGGGGUCAUGACCUACAAGUUGAGAACCACUGACUUAGUUGUUUCUGUCAGCUGUUCUGUGAAUCUGAAAAGAAGGCAAGACAAUGCCUUUUCCAGUGCAUGCAACAAAGGAGGAGCCAUCUAACCUCUCCAGCCAUAGGAUUUACAUGACAACCUUAAUAGACAAGGAACGUGGAAGACACCCUACACAGUGUGAGAAACCUUAACCCUGAGAAUCACCUAAGGCUGAUGUCAUUUCUCAGAAAUCUGGCUUAAGAAUCACAUCAGGGAGAGACUGGUUUUAUGCAGGUAACCACAGCCUCUGUGAGUUCAUGAAUAAAGUAAUCCAGUUAUGCCCAGAAGGCAUAGUUCAGUCCAGUCCUCUCUAGGUUGGCUCUUACAAUCAUUCUGCUUCCUCUUCCACAAAAGUUUCUCGGUCUUACCAGGUGAGUACCCUAUAGAUGUGUGGAAAACAUUGGGUGCUUCAGGAUCUGGUAUUAUUUCCAGAUUGACUUUUCAAGUCUUCCAACACAAAAGGAGGCACCUCACUUUCAGCAAUAGGAGCCAGAACCUGACACAGUC
RNAcentral lists this long non-coding RNA (743 nucleotides) under Cricetulus griseus (Chinese hamster). Its description in RNAcentral is "lncRNA (ENSCGRG00015041740.1)". The record is from RNAcentral. Lineage: Eukaryota; Metazoa; Chordata; Mammalia; Rodentia; Cricetidae.